RNAcentral lists this ribosomal RNA (1905 nucleotides) under Triticum aestivum (bread wheat). RNAcentral describes it as "partial small subunit ribosomal RNA". Lineage: Eukaryota; Viridiplantae; Streptophyta; Magnoliopsida; Poales; Poaceae. The record is from RNAcentral.
AUGGAAAAAUGGGGGAAGGAAAUGCGGGCAAGGAACAUUGGUCACCACACCCUUGGAAGCCGUGGUUACCUAGGGAAGAAGCCGAAGUGGGACAAGCAGGACGCUGAGUUUGCUGCAGCAGGCAACUAUCCUGUCAUGGUGCCAGAGACGAGGAGUAGGAGGGUCCACGCAUCGGAGACCGUGUUGUCCUCGGCGCAGUGCCCUCGACUCACGCGCGCUGGAAGCAGGGUGGAUGUGCCGACCAGUGGCCGCUCCGGUCAGGUUAAUGAGGAUGUCGAGAGCAGAUUCCAGCAUUUGGCAAGUUCAGUACACAAUGAUGUUAUGCAGUUAAAGGCAGCGAACGGAGAGGACGAGGGAGGCGUGCACAUCCAAGACCUUGUUGUCGUCGUUCCGCGAAUGACGAGGAGGAGGGCGAGGGAGGCAUGCGCGUUGGAGACUGCGUUGCCGUCGUUGCAGCGCACUCAACUCACACGCGGUGGAAGCAGGGGGGAGGCCCCGACCAAUGGCCGCUCCGCCUCUUCUUCGCGGACGAUAAGCGCGGGCGAUGAAGCUGUAGAACCGUCAUCACGUCAUGGUGGCCCAGACGCCUUGGGCACAUACACAGAUGGGCAGGACGACUACACAUCCACUGUUCAUGAUGAGUCCUGCACCGCCGCAAAUCCUGAAGAUGCGACCGAUCGCGACGAAGGGACCGGCCAAGGGGACCAGGCAGCUGGACAACCUAAAAAGCAACGGAAACCUAGGCGCCCAAACAUGCUUAGCACCGAUAGGAUUGUCAUCAACCGAGUGUCUGAGGCGGGUCUACCUCUUAGUCCCAAGAAGGCCGAACAAGGUUACAGUAAUGGCCUAGGCUGCAUCCUUCGCGAAACCGUGAGCAUUAACGAAACCAAUCUCAGGUCGAAAGCCAACGAGAAUUUGCGAGCACUCCUCAUAUCGAAGCUGCACACUCAUUACAAGUUCCCGGAUGAGUCCCUAGACGAGACCACUCCGGUAAAUAACACAGCCCUCUGCAAGUGGACCAAGCUUUUGAGUACAUGGAAAUCCAAAGCCAAAAGCGAAUACCUUGAGAAAGAUUACGAAACCGAGAUAAAAAAGAAGUGGCCUUCGGUUUCUGAGGAGGACUGGAACCUGUUCAAGCAGCACUGCGAGACCCCUGAAGUCAAGGAGAUGGAAAAAUGGGGGAAGGAAAUGCGGGCAAGGAACAUUGGUCACCACACCCUUGGAAGCCGUGGUUACCUAGGGAAGAAGCCGAAGUGGGACAAGCAGGACGCUGAGUUUGCUGCAGCAGGCAUAUCAAACCCCUUCAAGGAAUUUGAAAACCCACGUGAAAAUGAUUACAUCAGGGGCCGGUGCAAGUAUGAUGAAGCGACUAAGGCAUGGGUAUUGGACGAGAAAACGGCGAAAGUCAAGGAACUCCUGAGGCAGUAUCAUGUGGAAUCUCAAAGCUCCCAGGAGUCAGAGUGCUCGGCAAUGUGGGAUGACCCUCUGAACAGGUCGAUCAACGUGGUGCUCGGCAAGGACCCGAAAACGAGGCCGGCUUAUGGUCGUGUGAACGGCGUCGGGCUCAACGAAAAAUGGGACACGCAUUAUCCCGAAGACCGCGAGCUUGCAAGGCAGAGAAGGAGAGCCGGCCGAGCUAGUUUCGAAUCCAGAUUGGCUGGAAUGAGAGAAGAACUUAAAGAAGAAAUGAGAGAGGAAGUCGAGGUGAAAGCCAAAGCCAUGGCGACAGCCCAGGUCAUGGAAAUGUGGCCCGAUCUAAUUGAGGCCGUCAAGCGAAGUUUAGCAUCGGGGCAAACAGCGCCACCAUCAUCCGCUUUCACGUUGGCGCCGGCCAAUGUCAUUUUGGAGAAAGAGCCGCGUCCUGGUGCACAUCAUAGCAGCCGCUCUGCCCCUUUCAUGGGCUAG